This 72-nucleotide microRNA precursor is filed under the name Gasterosteus aculeatus (three-spined stickleback). RNAcentral describes it as "miR-430 microRNA precursor family". It matches the Rfam family "miR-430 microRNA precursor family". The record is from Rfam by way of RNAcentral. Lineage: Eukaryota; Metazoa; Chordata; Actinopteri; Perciformes; Gasterosteidae.
UGGAUUACCCUUACAAAAACAACUGACUUUGGUUCUCAAUACAGUAAGUUGCUUUUUGUUGGGGUAGUUUUG